Molecule: ribosomal RNA, 468 nt
Filed under: uncultured bacterium
Lineage: Bacteria
Description: partial 16S ribosomal RNA
Rfam family: Bacterial small subunit ribosomal RNA
Source: RNAcentral
GACGAACGCUGGCGGCGUGCUUAACACAUGCAAGUCGAACGGAGAGGCCCUGCUUUUGUGGGGUGCUCGAGUGGCGAACGGGUGAGUAACACGUGAGUAACCUGCCCUUGACUUUGGGAUAACUUCAGGAAACUGGGGCUAAUACCGGAUAGGAGCUCCUGCUGCAUGGUGGGGGUUGGAAAGUUUCGGCGGUUGGGGAUGGACUCGCGGCUUAUCAGCUUGUUGGUGGGGUAGUGGCUUACCAAGGCUUUGACGGGUAGCCGGCCUGAGAGGGUGACCGGCGACAUUGGGACUGAGAUACGGCCCAGACUCCUACGGGAGGCAGCAGUGGGGAAUAUUGCACAAUGGGCGGAAGCCUGAUGCAGCAACGCCGCGUGCGGGAUGACGGCCUUCGGGUUGUAAACCGCUUUCGCCUGUGACGAAGCGUGAGUGACGGUAAUGGGUAAAGAAGCACCGGCUAACUACGUG